AUGAAGGUUAUACCUCAAAACAAACACACCCCAAUCAAAAUAUACAACUUGUUGAGUUUGACCAUUAGUGUAACUGUGGCUUUAUGAAUUUGAAGUUUAGAAUCCCUUCCAACAUUGUUUUGGCUUGUCCAUAGAUAUCAAACUCUACCAUACUCAACUGGCGAGACAAGCGAAGUUAAGGAGAAAGCGAGGGUGACGAGAAAAGAUAAGAAGAAAUUUCACAAAAAGGUAUUUUCUCUUCUCUUUAGAUUUGAAGAAUAUGAAAACUCGCAUGAUUAUAUGAAGGUUUUAUAUUGAAAUUUUAGGUUUUGUGCUUUGUAAAAUUUUAUUAAGCCCAAAAUCAUUUCAGAUCCUAAAUAAGUUAUUUGUCUGAUUAAACACGGAAUUGUGCGUCGAUUCCUCUUUGUAUGGUUAAGUUUUGAUUAGUCUUGUUUAAAACACUUCCCAAAAUCAUCAUUUCAACUGUAUUAAACACAGAGUUGUAGAUCGAAUAAUGUUAGUUAUAAGUCGAUUUAAUUUGUUCUUUCGCAAUAUAUAUGAAGAAUAAUAAGCAACAAAAAGUACAUAGGAAAUAAUAAUGGUAGUUCAAAAUAUUCCACCAGAAAUCAAGCAUAUACUUUCCAAAAUUUUCACUGAAAAUCCAAACGAAUAGUAUUCAGGUUUGUUGAAUCACACUCAGCUAGUGAGAUAGAGAGGUUUGAUAGGAAGAUCGAGACGAGCCAAGUUAAGGAGAGGGGAAGGUUGACUCGGAAAAGUCAACCGAGACGAGCAAAGAUAAGAAGAAAAUUCACAAAAAAUGUAGAUUUUUCUUCCUCAUUAGAUUUGAAUAAUAUGAAAACUGUAUGACUAUACUAAGUUUUUAAUCGCAAACUUUGCGGUCCAUUUUAAUAAAUAAGGUGUAUAAUUUCUUUAUGGAUUUAUUUAUGGAGGGUAGGUUCUAUUGAGAUAUGUAUUUUCAUGAGACCAUGAGUACAAUGAAUAAGACAGUAUAUAAUGUUGAACCUAGGAAGAAAAAAAAAUUCCCCUCCAAAUAAAUAUAAGUCAUAUGAUAUAUUAAAUCAACGCUUAUAAAUCAAUCUAAGAUCUCACUAUAUGAGGCAUCUCAUUGGAACGCUAUUUAUGGAUAUAUAAAUCCAUAAAUAAGGUAUAUACAUAAUUUCUUUAAACUCCAAUUUUAAUAUAUAUGAAUGCUAAUUUUGAUUUAUUAUUAAGUAAUCUUUUGACAUGUAGACGCAUUUCCUAAUCAAGUUGCCAAGUUAGACAGAAGAUGUGUCGUCAUUGCUUGCGAAAGUUGAACCUUAAUUAAUUUAAGACCCCUAAAAAAAGUUGAAUAUUUAAGAAGUAAAAGAAAUAUUAAUAUGUUUUGGUCCUAGGAUCGAUAUUGGAUCAACUAUUUAAUUUGGAUUUCUCUUAGAAGGACACAAUGAACAUAUAAUAGUAAUAGUAGCAAUAUUAUAAUUGUGUAAGCCACCAAACGCGGAAGGACCUCAUGGAUCCAUAUAGUCAUCACUAUGUAAAGAUGAAAUUAAUUUCAUCAAGAUUUUUGGUCUCUUCCUUGUUUAGUUUGACUAUAUAGUGUAAAAUUCUUUUCAAGUUUGUUUUGACUUGAAAGAUAUCACAUUCUACCCUUCAAAUCAAAGGAUUCAUUGGAAGAUCAAGAUGAGCUAAUUUCAUGAGAAGGGAGGAUUGAAUCAGAAAAUCGAUCAAGACGAGCAAAGAUAAGAAGAGAAAUUACGAAAGGGUAACUUUUUCCUUCUCUGUAGACUAGAAUAAUUUUAAAAUUCACAUGUAUAUGAUGUUUUAAAUUGUAUCGAAAAUUAAAUUCACAUGAUU
Molecule: long non-coding RNA, 1833 nt
Filed under: Salvia miltiorrhiza (redroot sage)
Lineage: Eukaryota; Viridiplantae; Streptophyta; Magnoliopsida; Lamiales; Lamiaceae
Description: long non-coding RNA (SMIL_LNC006530)
Source: RNAcentral